UUGCGGAACAAAAUUUUUGACGCGUUAAAGCAAAAUACCACGUUCUUCUUUGCCAAAACCCUAGCCACUCCUCCCUCUCUCGCCAUUUGCCACCCCUCCUUCGCCGAAGCAAAGGGACCUGCGACUCUCUCGCACUGAGCUAUCUCUCGCCGGCGAUCUCCUCUCCACCGCGAGAUCUCUCUUGUCGCGACGAGCUCUCCGUCCAACCUAGGGUUUCCCCGGCGCGACGAGCUCUCUAUCCAAGCUAGUGUUUCCCCGCCGCGAGAUCUCUCUUGCCGCGACGAGCUCUUCGUCCAACCUAGGGUUUCCCCGCCGCGACGAGCUCUCCGUCCAAGCUAGCGUUUCCCCAUCGCGAGAUCUCUCUCUCACCACGACGAGCUCUGUUCCCUGCCGCGCCUUUAUCUCUCGCCGACAAGGUCCUUUCCCUUCUUUUAUCAGGCCGCCAGAUUCUUUCUGCACGAGACUGUCUUCUUUUGUUGGUUUGCAUUGUCUGGAUGGCUGUUCAGAUCAAUUUUGCUAUUCAGGAACCAACAGUGCAAGCUGGAAAUUAAGCUGGAAAUGCAGUUCUUGGAUAUAGCAGUGCAAGCUGGAAAUGCAAUUCUUGGAUAUAGCAGUGCAAGCUGAAAAUGUAGUUCUUGCAAGCUGUGCAAGUGGAGAAACAACAAGAGUCACAGGAUCAACAUUAUUAUCAUUCUGUGAAAGUUAGAAUGCAGUGGUGUAUGUAUAGUAAUAUUAUACUAAUGUUCUUGAUAAGAAUCAAGUGUUGUAGGCCAUUAAAAUUUGAAUGUAGUGGUGUUAUAUUAAUAUCAUUUUGUAAAAGCUUAAGGUUGCUCAUGUUGGUCUCACAAGAUCAUCAUUAAUAUCAUUUUGUUCAAAGUGUUCCAUCUUUUGUA
Long non-coding RNA from Zingiber officinale, 893 nucleotides. RefSeq lists it as uncharacterized. The record is from RefSeq and is a predicted model, not a curated record. Lineage: Eukaryota; Viridiplantae; Streptophyta; Magnoliopsida; Zingiberales; Zingiberaceae. The transcript is spliced from 3 exons.